GUAGGUGGCAAGCGUUGUCCGGAAUUAUUGGGCGUAAAGCGCGCGCAGGCGGUUCUUUAAGUCUGAUGUGAAAGCCCACGGGCUCAACCGUGGAGGGUCAUUGGAAACUGGAGAACUUGAGUACAGAAGAGGAAAGCGGAAUUCCACGUGUAGCGGUGAAAUGCGUAGAGAUGUGGAGGAACACCAGUGGCGAAGGCGGCUUUCUGGUCUGUAACUGACGCUGAGGCGCGAAAGCGUGGGGAGCAAACAGGAUUAGAUACCCUGGUAGUCCACGCCGUAAACGAUGAGCGCUAAGUGUUAGGGGGUUUCCGCCCCUUAGUGCUGCAGCUAACGCAUUAAGCACUCCGCCUGGGGAGUACGGCCGCAAGGCUA
RNAcentral lists this ribosomal RNA (372 nucleotides) under uncultured organism. RNAcentral's name for it is "partial 16S ribosomal RNA". It matches the Rfam family "Bacterial small subunit ribosomal RNA", at positions 527 to 896 of the family's 1533-position model. The record is from RNAcentral.